CCUUUCCCUUUCCCUUCCCAUUCCCAUUUCCAUUUUCAUUCCCAAUUCCACUCCCUUUCUUCUCCCAAACCACCACCAACUUCCCUCCAACAUUUGCCAUUGUUGCCCCGGCCAAGAACCUUGGCAACUCCUUAUCCACCCCUCUCAACUCCUUCCAAAAACCCUUUCCCACGUCGAAACCCCUAAUCUUUCCCAAGAAAUCGUAACAAUACAAAACCUCAUCCACCACACACGCCCUCCCUCUCCAUCCUAAAUCCAAUUCACUCCCUACACUGUCCCAUUUCUUAGUUCGGGGCUCGUAAACCACCCCAUUCCUGUCCGCCAUUGCGUAGAUUCUGUUAUCUAUCACAGCACUCGCGUGCAUCCAUUUCUCUCGCAAUAAAUUAUCGUGCGCGCUAUCCACUGAUUCCCAAGUUCUAGUCUUUGGGUCAUAAGCCUCCGCCCAAUUCUUCGACCGGGCCCAAGUAUCCACGACGCAGCCGCCGAUGACGUAGAUUUUGUCAUCCACCACCCCGGCGGCGGCGAAUUCGCGGGAAAUUCUCAUGUUGGGAACGGAUUCCCAGGUGUGGAAGCGGCAAUCCAGAGCCCAUACGUGGGAGGAGGGGACAUCCUUGAGGCAGCCGCCGAUGACGUAGAUCUUGGGGCCAACAGCAACCAGAGCAGAGCCAAGUAAAGGAGAGGGGGUAGGUGGGACUGGGACUAGGAAAUAUGGAGGUUUUGUGCGAUUCGGAGAGUUGUGAUAAAGUGUGAACCAAUGCAAGGAGCUUGUGGUGGGGAUGCGGAUAGAGAGAUAGAGAAAAGGUUGGGAGCAGCGAAGGAGAGAGCGGGUGGUAUAGAAGAGAGGGGAGGAGAAGACAGAGCGGAAAGGCUUGGAGACCAAGGAAAGGAGAGGGUGG
Molecule: unclassified non-coding RNA, 896 nt
Filed under: Hevea brasiliensis (rubber tree)
Lineage: Eukaryota; Viridiplantae; Streptophyta; Magnoliopsida; Malpighiales; Euphorbiaceae
Source: RNAcentral